This 25-nucleotide non-coding RNA is filed under the name Cricetulus griseus (Chinese hamster). Lineage: Eukaryota; Metazoa; Chordata; Mammalia; Rodentia; Cricetidae. The record is from RNAcentral.
AGGGGAAUAGUAAUGUUUGAUACUU